This 614-nucleotide ribosomal RNA is filed under the name uncultured bacterium. Its description in RNAcentral is "partial 16S ribosomal RNA". The record is from RNAcentral.
AGUGGUUCCGAUUCUGCCCAUCGACUAGACUCUCCUACUAGUCGGUGUGACCUUGACUCUGUGCCAGGUCUGUGGAUGCCCACCGUCGUCAAAGCUUAGUAAGUGUUACCCGCUUUCGGACUACCACGCUGCGGCGCACUCCCUACUUCCAGAAGCCUAACAUUUGGAGACAGUGGCCCCUUCUUUGCGAAACUCAAUUAUCAAGUUUCGGACUGAAUUGGGCCUCUCCUUCGUCACCGAUUGAGACACGGUCGUCGGCGCCAUUAUGUCUCUGACGUUCGCAAUAAGCCUAAGUGACCCGCAUUUCCCACGCGUCCGCCGGCCCACACAGUCUACACUUUAGGGCUCCGAAUUGGAGCCUUGACGCAGACUUUGAUGAGCCGAUCUCAUGACCUCUCCCAUUGCCUUAAGUGCCACAUCGUCACUUUACGCAUCUAUAGCACUCCUUGUGGUCUCCGCUUCCGCCAAUGGACCUGUCAAUGACUGCGAGUCCGUGCUUUCGUACCCCUCGUUUUCCCUAAUCUAUGGGGACAUCAGGUACGGGAUUUGCCACGUGUGAUCCAGAACCGCCUAAGCUGGGGAGGUCCCGGGUUCGAUUGCGCAAUUCAACGGCG